This 465-nucleotide ribosomal RNA is filed under the name uncultured Klebsiella sp. Its description in RNAcentral is "bacterial SSU rRNA". It matches the Rfam family "Bacterial small subunit ribosomal RNA", at positions 338 to 795 of the family's 1533-position model. The record is from RNAcentral. Lineage: Bacteria; Pseudomonadati; Pseudomonadota; Gammaproteobacteria; Enterobacterales; Enterobacteriaceae.
CCUACGGGUGGCAGCAGUGGGGAAUAUUGCACAAUGGGCGCAAGCCUGAUGCAGCCAUGCCGCGUGUGUGAAGAAGGCCUUCGGGUUGUAAAGCACUUUCAGCGGGGAGGAAGGCGUUAAGGUUAAUAACCUUGUCGAUUGACGUUACCCGCAGAAGAAGCACCGGCUAACUCCGUGCCAGCAGCCGCGGUAAUACGGAGGGUGCAAGCGUUAAUCGGAAUUACUGGGCGUAAAGCGCACGCAGGCGGUCUGUCAAGUCGGAUGUGAAAUCCCCGGGCUCAACCUGGGAACUGCAUUCGAAACUGGCAGGCUAGAGUCUUGUAGAGGGGGGUAGAAUUCCAGGUGUAGCGGUGAGAUGCGUAGAGAUCUGGAGGAAUACCGGUGGCGAAGGCGGCCCCCUGGACAAAGACUGACGCUCGGGUGCGAAAGCGUGGGGAGCAAACAGGAUUAGAUACCCGGGUAGUC